Non-coding RNA from Dipodomys spectabilis (banner-tailed kangaroo rat), 408 nucleotides. The record is from the annotation of a RefSeq genome assembly. NCBI's taxonomy places the organism in Eukaryota, Metazoa, Chordata, Mammalia, Rodentia, Heteromyidae.
AUGAGGUUUAGGUCUGAGAGAGUGAGGAACAGUCCAGAAAGAGCGAGAACCUGUGCUUCAGUGAAGUCUCUGCUAGGAUCCAGUGGAGAUGUUGUGAUGACCCAGACUCCAAGGUCCUUGCCUGUCACCCUGGGAGAUCCAGCCUCCAUCUCCUGCAAGUCUAGUCAGAGCCUUCUGCAUAGCAAUGGAAACACCUAUUUGCAUUGGUUCCUACAGAAGCCAGGCCAGUCUCCACAUCGCCUGAUCUAUUUGGUUUCCAAACGAGACUCUGGGGUCCCAGACAGAUUCAGUGGCAGUGGGUCAGGCACAGAUUUCACACUGACAAUCAGCAGGGUGGAAGCUGAGGAUGUUGGAGUUUAUUACUGCAUGCAAGCUACACAUCUUCCUCCCACAGUGAUACAGCCUUGA